UCCCCUUUCCCUUCAUCCUCCGCGAAAGUGACCCAGCGAGGCGCCGCAACGUUGCCGAAGUGCCGAGCGAGGGCGACUCCCGGUGAUCCAGGCACGCCAUCCGCUGUGACCCCGGUGAGCCGCCCCGCCAUCCUGGAGACAUCGCCCUGACCCCGCUACCCCGCGUCCCCAUUGGCGCCGACACGUGUGACCUUGGCGAGUCAACCCGCAACCCUCGACGCGCGAUGCUGCUCCGGCAACCCUGGCUAACUGCGUGUCCACUCUUCCACCGAUCCCUCUACAUGCUGUUCAGAGGGAGGUCACUGCCUUGAGCGCCUUGUGAUCACCGCAGGUCAACUUAUACUCGCACCCCAUUGCAGGUAAAUCGAGACCCGCGGGCUCCGACGGCCCAUGAUCGCGCUCCGGCGUCAACCAGAGAUCCUGGUGAGGCCACACGUGCCACCCUCGGUGUCCUCCCUCAACAACACCUGCACCAAAGAAGAAAGCUCUAUUCCAAUCUCCAGCAACUUCCUCCGUGGCAGCAUGUCUGGUCUCGAGCACUGCGGGCAAGCAUUUGUUAAGGGAGGCACCACGGAUUCAUGCUCAUGUCUCCAAUCCAGUUGGUUUUGAUUGGAAGCACUAGAUGGUAUGUUGCUGCCUAGCAGUAUUAUUCCACUGUGAUGACAUGAGACCGAUCUAAUACGUGACUGGUAUCAAUGUGUGGCUGACAUUGUCGUUCUUCUACUAAAAGGUUCACAGCCGAAGGAUUUUUUUUCAGCUGCUAGGUGCUUCAUGAUUUGCCUCUUCUGUGGAAAUAAGUUUCAUGCGCAUCAAAGCGAGGUCAGAGAUGAAAACCCAUACUUUCUCAAGAAUAAUGUUAGUAUGUAAUUCACAGUUCUAGAACAUAAUUGUUCAUGAAAAGAGUAGUAUAUUCCAUGGGCCUCUGUUUUGAUUACAUAAUUUUUACAACAGUUAGAUGAGAGUAAAAUUCAACUUCCUAUCUUAUCUGCCAUAUCUAGCUCGGUAUAGCUAGCUUCCACCCUUUUGGUUAAUAUCUAUUUCCACUUCUCCAGUUAUUACAAUGCUCCUAAUUCUUUUGGUUGAUUUUGUUUCCUCCAUCAGCGCCUGAGGUUGUCAAUUCAAAGUACUACUAUGAAUAUUUCUUUUAGGAAUAUGAGUUACGCGUUAAUCAAUUGGUGCCUUCAAGUGUGCCUUUCAAAGAAAUCCAUAUAUUAACAAGAUCGAUGGAAAAUUGUAUAUUUGCAUUUGAUUUACAUAAUGAUGUGUAGACUUUUCCUUUGGGAAAUUGAGUCUUUUAUUAAUUAUUUGCACCGUCACACAACCACCAAAAUGUUCACUCCAUGCAAUUGCCUUAUCAUUCAUAUUUCUGCAUAAACAGACUGGUAUAUGUUUUGUUUUCUUAAAAUUCCUUAAAAGAAAUUAUUAUUGCUGCUGCUAUUGUUGUUCCGUUUUUGUUUUUAAAAAUUCACCCAUGCUGAGUAAAUAUGAAUUAUAAAUGCCACAAGUUUUCAUACUCCAAGUGAUCUCUUUAAUGUAUCUAUUUUCUCUUUCGUGCAUAUUCCCUUCAGAUAUGUAAUAGUAUAGCCCAUAAUCAAAUGAUAUAUUUCUACAAUUUUAAUAAAGGUAUGUUUGUUGUUCCCUCAAAUGGGUGAUAUAUUACAGUUUACAGGUUCCUCGUGGUAUUGGUGUUUGUUCAGCUGAAUACUUAACUUGAAUACACCCGUAGUUUACCUUCAUGUCUCAUGCGUACUCCUUCGGCAUGGGAUGUAAAGCUCGCUGAUAUUUCUAUGAUUUGGCACAUAUGCUAUCAUUUAUUGUCUAUCUAAUGUGUUUGGUUUGAAAUAGCUGCAAGAAUAGUAACUGAAGUUCAGUUUCCAAACAUGCAUGUGUAAUUACUAUCAAACAAUUUUCUAUAAGGCUAAGAGCUUAGAUAUUAUUUCUUUAAACUUAUAUCUUCACUUUCCAGACGUAAGAAAUAACACUUAUGGUUAGAAUUAUACUACACGAUUGUUCUGGUGUUGAUAACAGUCCUAGCCUAAAAAAUUUGCCCUUGGUGAGAGGAGCAGGUCUAGCCCAUUGUGAUCAUGCUUGGUUUAAUUGGUCUAUGCUUGCUGGGAGCCUAUUAAUAACUAGUAGAACGCCCGUGCGUUGCUACGAGCUACAAUGCAUAGAAAUAAAUCAAAUGAAGCUAGAUAACUUCUGUUAUUUUCACGUGAAUAACAUGAGGCAAAGUAAUAAGUAAGCAGUUUAGUUCCUGAGAGUGGACCCAAUAUUUCAGUCUCAUAUGCUCAUUGGAUUGGCAAAACUUUACAAUCGCAUUAGAAAAGUUCCAUGGUAGUUUGUUUACCUAACAGGAAAAAGGUCAAGAAAAUGCAGGGUCUAACUGAACCAUUAGCUCCCAAUGGCUUGUUAUCUGCAACCUUUACAAAAUCCAAAAAAAGUAUAUUUUGAAAUAUGAUGCCCAAGAACAAUCAUGGAUCAGAUGGUUGUAUCUGAUUCCAAACAGACUGAGGCCCUGUCCAAACAAAUAAUAAUAAAUUGCUGACUCAUUAAUUUUAUGCACCAAGUAUAAUGCAAAUAGGAAUACGUAGCACUAAAAUCUCUACUCCUAAUGGAGCAGUUGGUAGUCUCGCUUCCAGGUUUUUUUUCGUCCCACCUCACAUGGUUUUUUUUGGUACCUCCUCCCACCUCUGACUUAUCCACCAGAAACCGAAAAAACCUCCUCCUGAGGCCCCAACCCGCACCCAUCCACGUACAAAAAAAUAGACCAACCAAGGUUAACCAACGAAAAAAGACCUACGAAGGUUAACCAGCGACGAAAAAACCUAAACCUAUCGCCCGCUCCCUCGCGCCCCUGUUGCUCCCUCCUCAAUCCCGAUCUGGAUCGAGGGGACGAGGAGCUCCUGCCUCCCCGACGGCCGGCCUCCUCCUCGCCCCGCCGCUGCAUCCGGCGCCGCCACGGGCUCUGGAGCCAGGGAAGCCAUGGCCUGAGCUCGGCCUCGAGGUCCCCCCGCCGUCUCCUGCAGCUUCUGCCCCGCCGCCUCAACGCCCGAGCUCGCCAUCACACCAACCUCGGCGCCGCGCCGCCGCCGGCUCUGGUCGCCUCCACCUCCGCUCCAGGCAACCCUCGGUCGCCGGCUCGUUGGAGCACGACGGCAGACGAUGGAUGCCCUGGUUGUGUGCGACGGUUGCAGUUCUUACGCGCAAGCUAGGGUUGGAGCCGCCAGCUCUUCAUCCUGCCUGCCGGCGGCGAGUCUUCCCGUCCCGCACUGCCGCCUCCCCGUUAUCACAGCAUGGUCAAAACAAUGGUGCCUUCACCCUUGCUCGUGCCUCAACCCACAUGGUCAUCUUUGAGACGUGGUAUUCAGUCACAUGACAGAGUUCUCUUUAUCUUUGAGGUCAGGUGCGGCAACUAGCGACAUGUGCUGGAACUUCUGGCUUCGCUGGCGGCGGCAUCACCUGCAUCGACCUCUCCCUGGUCGCCUUCGAGAGUGUGUGCGGCCGACCAUCAAGCUUGUUAUGACGCACUUUGAAUUUCCGAGCAAGUCGCAGCCUUUUCAGAUUCAUCAACACAGGUUACAUCAGUAGUCAAUAUGGUUCAGAUGCAUAAUAGUACGUACUUCAUUUCCUUUUUGUUGUGUACGGUGUCCUACAACAUGGAUCAUAUAUAUCGGUUAUCUUUCAGGUUCAGUUUGCUGUGGCGAAUUCUUCUUGAAUUUGUUGCAGCAAACUUGUGGUCAUGUAUGGUUUUUAGUUUUGCAAGCAUGCAUAGUUUAGAAGUUAGAAAGCUCGUUCAUGUACUGUUCUAAACUGAAAGUUUAAGUGGCUUUUCCACCCAUGGUAUUGUGGUGGUCAUAAUAGCACACCUCACAAUUAUUAUGGCCAGAUCUACAAGCACUGAGCGUUGUGUUUUUUAGCCCCCUCUGUUUCUCCUGGGCAUCAAUCUAUGCGCAACAAGCUCUUCAGUGCUUGAUGACAAAUAAAGGUUGCAUCUUAGAUAUUUGCUUGAUUUGAAUGAGCCAUUUUGCUGUCAGCUAAACUGUUAAAAGUCAGAUGUAAGAUUAUGUUUCUUGGCACAUGAGUUAUUUUUCAGUCAACGCGUGGCGAGUCCACUUCGAACUGAUAUAUGCACUUUUUAUUUGAAACUGAACCACCAUGGUUUAAUUUUAUUUUCAUUUGGACAAGUUACCCCAAGUAUCAUCAGUUCAUGAUGACUGGUUUGGUGUGAUGAAUUGAUCCUGGUGCUGAUUUAAGAGUUUUUUAUGACGCUGUCUUGUAAGGGAGUAAGGUCUGGUAUCUAUAUGGCUGUUAUUUUAGCUCUUACAGAUUGCCAUAUAUGACAUGCUAAUUGUUUUUAGCUCUUGAUAUAGUUAAACUUUUUUUUUCGAAACGGAGGCAAAAGAUUUGCCUCAUCCAUUAAAUGGGAGGAGAAUAGAGUUAAACUUUGGAUGCACCAGUGCCUGAUGCAUAUGUUUGUUUACUUGGUUUGAACUCUGAAUGAUAUGUUGUUAUCCUGCACGCAUGCCUGAUGAGUUGGUGCUGCUGGUAUUUUGAGGAGGCAAGUUGUGGUUUUACUCCUGGCCCUGAGAAGGGUGAACUAGGCCAUAGCGAGGGCGCCUUCAGGAACAUCGAGUCAGGGUGCCUCACUUUCUAUUUCAGUCUGCGAGGUAAUGAAGGCAAAAAAAAGUUUCUACUCGCCCUGUUCUUGCAACUAAACAGAGAAAAACUGUGUGGUUACUGAAGCAUUAUGGUCUAUAGUUAUCGAAGCAUUGCAUUUGUUGAGAAAGUGUUCCUUAUACCAUGUAAGUAGGGACAAUUACUAUUUAACUAGGUACAAUUAAUAUUUAACAAGCCACAGUUGAUCAAGCAGUCAAUGCUUAAAUAUGCCCGUACUCUGUCGUAUCCAGGAUGGAGCUUUGCUAGCUUUUGAGUUGGAUUCUUUUGACUGCACCUAAAUAUGACAAGCCGACAGUAAAUGAGCUCAUUUUAAAAAACUGCAGUUUAAAGGAAAUUAUUACAAUAUGUAUAUCAAUUCCAACAUUGCUAUCUGAAGGAUGAUUUAAGGACUAUUUGUCUCUGAUGGCUUUCCCUGUUUGGCUCCCUUUUCUGUGAGUUGACUCUACAGUUCUAGGAUCUUCUCUGUAACCAUAAAUUCACAGCUUAGCAAAAGUAUAUAUAUACUUGCUAGACCUUCUCAUUACACUCUUUCACUUUUUUGGACUAAUACUAUCCUGUAUAGACCUAAUAACAGAAGACAUGGGAAAUGCUUUCGUAACAUGAUGGUUUUUUUUGUUAGAUGCUCUGUUUAUUUAGUGUCGUUGAUCCAAAAACUUGAAAGUGUAGAAAUGUUCAUGCAUGGGACUAUAGAACCAAGUAUUUCUCGAUUUGGUGAUGCUUAAUUCAGAGUUCUUAUGCAUCAGAUUGGAGUGUUAACACAAACCUGUUAUUUAUUUCACUUCAUAUGAGUUAAUGCCAAGGCCUUUUUUGUGUCCCCUCUAAUCAUUGCAUUUGUAUCUUGAUCAUUGUAUUACGAGAAGCAAAAUAUUUCUCAUGUUUUGCUCAGUGUGUCUACUUAUCUUAUUUAUUAUAUUAACUAUUUUUUGAUGAUAUUUCACAAGAAUGACAUUGUUAGAUUUAGAUUCGUUAGGUUUCAACACAUUUGAUGGUAGGCCAUUUCAAUAAUUCUAUUUGUUUCAGGCAUUGGUAGAUUGUGUUACAACUGAAGAGUUUCUUGUGCUAAUACUUGCAGAUCUCGACACACCCUGAACAAUGAGCACAUGUUACCAGCCACAUUCCACACAGGAUGUGUUCUUUUCAAAACAAAGAUACCCUGAUACAUGAUUAUUCCUCUUUCAAGUUCUUGAUCCUUGAAGAUACUUGCUAGGUUUCUAGCUGAUUUUUUGGUAGUAUAAGGCUAUAAGCUCGAUGUAUAUGGCCUGAAUAUGAUCUGAUUCAGAGUACAUUGUGUUCUGAAGCUUUUUACUGUAUGGUUCUCUCUUGAAAGAAUUCAAGCCAUUGUUCAAUGGGAGAGAAUAGUUGUAAUCCUCAAAUAACUGUCGUACCUAUUCAUCAGCUGACACAAUUGCCACCGAGAUCAUUAUUUUCCUUUUUUUUUCAGGUUUUCAACAUCACGAAUUUCAUACUUAUGGAGUGGAGCUACCAAAAUAUCUAUUGAGGAAAUAUGUCGAAGCACAGAAUAUAUUCCAUAUGCAGUGGACUAACAGAAUGACACAACACAUAAAAAGAGGAGUAUAAGUGGAAACCUUUCUUUCUCUUUAAAUUCUUGAGGACUGUAACAUUAUGAUGAAGGUGGAACCAUAGAGAGAUGUGUAUUUUUAAUUGAGAUAUUUUCAGGAGUACCUUUGCAAAGCUGAUAUAGCUUUCUUUUACAAGAUAUGGUUGCACUUGCUUCAUCUACAUAGGCCGUCUGGAAUGCCAUGAGGCCGGGAUUUGUGUAGGAAAUCUUCAAAGCUAUUAUAUUGGUCUCAAGAAACUUGCAAUACAUCAAUGCAUUUUUAUUUUUAUUUUUUUGCUGACACCACAGCUACCACCUCUUCAGUAAAUGACAGAGGUUGCCAGCAGCUGCACAUGGAAAGAUUGAAUGUUAUAUUCUGUCUACUAAUCAAUAAGGAGGGAGAUCAAAAUUAAUGCUCUCAAAUAUUCGCCUGAUCAUUUGUAUGUUUCUGCAAUUUUCCUGCUUG
This is a long non-coding RNA of Triticum dicoccoides, 6701 nucleotides long. RefSeq lists it as uncharacterized. The record is from RefSeq and is a predicted model, not a curated record. The transcript is spliced from 7 exons. NCBI's taxonomy places the organism in Eukaryota, Viridiplantae, Streptophyta, Magnoliopsida, Poales, Poaceae.